UUAAGCGACUAAGCGUACACGGUGGAUGCCCUGGCAGUCAGAGGCGAUGAAGGACGUGCUAAUCUGCGAUAAGCGUCGGUAAGGUGAUAUGAACCGUUAUAACCGGCGAUUUCCGAAUGGGGAAACCCAGUGUGUUUCGACACACUAUCAUUAACUGAAUCCAUAGGUUAAUGAGGCGAACCGGGGGAACUGAAACAUCUAAGUACCCCGAGGAAAAGAAAUCAACCGAGAUUCCCCCAGUAGCGGCGAGCGAACGGGGAGCAGCCCAGAGCCUGAAUCAGUGUGUGUGUUAGUGGAAGCGUCUGGAAAGGCGCGCGAUACAGGGUGACAGCCCCGUACACAAAAAUGCACAUGCUGUGAGCUCGAUGAGUAGGGCGGGACACGUGGUAUCCUGUCUGAAUAUGGGGGGACCAUCCUCCAAGGCUAAAUACUCCUGACUGACCGAUAGUGAACCAGUACCGUGAGGGAAAGGCGAAAAGAACCCCGGCGAGGGGAGUGAAAAAGAACCUGAAACCGUGUACGUACAAGCAGUGGGAGCACGCUUAGGCGUGUGACUGCGUACCUUUUGUAUAAUGGGUCAGCGACUUAUAUUCUGUAGCAAGGUUAACCGAAUAGGGGAGCCGAAGGGAAACCGAGUCUUAACUGGGCGUUAAGUUGCAGGGUAUAGACCCGAAACCCGGUGAUCUAGCCAUGGGCAGGUUGAAGGUUGGGUAACACUAACUGGAGGACCGAACCGACUAAUGUUGAAAAAUUAGCGGAUGACUUGUGGCUGGGGGUGAAAGGCCAAUCAAACCGGGAGAUAGCUGGUUCUCCCCGAAAGCUAUUUAGGUAGCGCCUCGUGAAUUCAUCUCCGGGGGUAGAGCACUGUUUCGGCAAGGGGGUCAUCCCGACUUACCAACCCGAUGCAAACUGUGAAUACCGGAGAAUGUUAUCACGGGAGACACACGGCGGGUGCUAACGUCCGUCGUGAAGAGGGAAACAACCCAGACCGCCAGCUAAGGUCCCAAAGUCAUGGUUAAGUGGGAAACGAUGUGGGAAGGCCCAGACAGCCAGGAUGUUGGCUUAGAAGCAGCCAUCAUUUAAAGAAAGCGUAAUAGCUCACUGGUCGAGUCGGCCUGCGCGGAAGAUGUAACGGGGCUAAACCAUGCACCGAAGCUGCGGCAGCGACGCUUAUGCGUUGUUGGGUAGGGGAGCGUUCUGUAAGCCUGUGAAGGUGUGCUGUGAGGCAUGCUGGAGGUAUCAGAAGUGCGAAUGCUGACAUAAGUAACGAUAAAGCGGGUGAAAAGCCCGCUCGCCGGAAGACCAAGGGUUCCUGUCCAACGUUAAUCGGGGCAGGGUGAGUCGACCCCUAAGGCGAGGCCGAAAGGCGUAGUCGAUGGGAAACAGGUUAAUAUUCCUGUACUUGGUGUUACUGCGAAGGGGGGACGGAGAAGGCUAUGUUGGCCGGGCGACGGUUGUCCCGGUUUAAGCGUGUAGGCUGGUUUUCCAGGCAAAUCCGGAAAAUCAAGGCUGAGGCGUGAUGACGAGGCACUACGGUGCUGAAGCAACAAAUGCCCUGCUUCCAGGAAAAGCCUCUAAGCAUCAGGUAACAUCAAAUCGUACCCCAAACCGACACAGGUGGUCAGGUAGAGAAUACCAAGGCGCUUGAGAGAACUCGGGUGAAGGAACUAGGCAAAAUGGUGCCGUAACUUCGGGAGAAGGCACGCUGAUAUGUAGGUGAAGUCCCUCGCGGAUGGAGCUGAAAUCAGUCGAAGAUACCAGCUGGCUGCAACUGUUUAUUAAAAACACAGCACUGUGCAAACACGAAAGUGGACGUAUACGGUGUGACGCCUGCCCGGUGCCGGAAGGUUAAUUGAUGGGGUUAGCCGCAAGGCGAAGCUCUUGAUCGAAGCCCCGGUAAACGGCGGCCGUAACUAUAACGGUCCUAAGGUAGCGAAAUUCCUUGUCGGGUAAGUUCCGACCUGCACGAAUGGCGUAAUGAUGGCCAGGCUGUCUCCACCCGAGACUCAGUGAAAUUGAACUCGCUGUGAAGAUGCAGUGUACCCGCGGCAAGACGGAAAGACCCCGUGAACCUUUACUAUAGCUUGACACUGAACAUUGAGCCUUGAUGUGUAGGAUAGGUGGGAGGCUUAGAAGUGUGGACGCCAGUCUGCAUGGAGCCGACCUUGAAAUACCACCCUUUAAUGUUUGAUGUUCUAACGUUGACCCGUAAUCCGGGUUGCGGACAGUGUCUGGUGGGUAGUUUGACUGGGGCGGUCUCCUCCUAAAGAGUAACGGAGGAGCACGAAGGUUGGCUAAUCCUGGUCGGACAUCAGGAGGUUAGUGCAAUGGCAUAAGCCAGCUUGACUGCGAGCGUGACGGCGCGAGCAGGUGCGAAAGCAGGUCAUAGUGAUCCGGUGGUUCUGAAUGGAAGGGCCAUCGCUCAACGGAUAAAAGGUACUCCGGGGAUAACAGGCUGAUACCGCCCAAGAGUUCAUAUCGACGGCGGUGUUUGGCACCUCGAUGUCGGCUCAUCACAUCCUGGGGCUGAAGUAGGUCCCAAGGGUAUGGCUGUUCGCCAUUUAAAGUGGUACGCGAGCUGGGUUUAGAACGUCGUGAGACAGUUCGGUCCCUAUCUGCCGUGGGCGCUGGAGAACUGAGGGGGGCUGCUCCUAGUACGAGAGGACCGGAGUGGACGCAUCACUGGUGUUCGGGUUGUCAUGCCAAUGGCACUGCCCGGUAGCUAAAUGCGGAAGAGAUAAGUGCUGAAAGCAUCUAAGCACGAAACUUGCCCCGAGAUGAGUUCUCCCUGACUCCUUGAGAGUCCUGAAGGAACGUUGAAGACGACGACGUUGAUAGGCCGGGUGUGUAAGCGCAGCGAUGCGUUGAGCUAACCGGUACUAAUGAACCGUGAGGCUUAACCUU
RNAcentral lists this ribosomal RNA (2904 nucleotides) under Escherichia coli KTE103. Its description in RNAcentral is "bacterial LSU rRNA". It matches the Rfam family "Bacterial large subunit ribosomal RNA". Lineage: Bacteria; Pseudomonadati; Pseudomonadota; Gammaproteobacteria; Enterobacterales; Enterobacteriaceae. The record is from RNAcentral.